AUUUUUAUAGUGUAAUCAACAUAUUGUCCUUUCAAGACAAAGCUAAAUAUUUUUAAAAAUA
This 61-nucleotide transfer RNA is filed under the name Stygobromus tenuis potomacus. Its description in RNAcentral is "tRNA-Glu". The record is from RNAcentral. Lineage: Eukaryota; Metazoa; Arthropoda; Malacostraca; Amphipoda; Crangonyctidae.